This 253-nucleotide ribosomal RNA is filed under the name uncultured bacterium. Its description in RNAcentral is "partial 16S ribosomal RNA". It matches the Rfam family "Bacterial small subunit ribosomal RNA", at positions 524 to 776 of the family's 1533-position model. The record is from RNAcentral.
UACAGAGGUCUCAAGCGUUGCUCGGAUUCAUUGGGCGUAAAGGGUGCGUAGGCGGCGCGGUAAGUCGGGCGUGAAAUCUCGGAGCUUAACUCCGAAACUGCAUUCGAUACUGCCGUGCUUGAGGACUGGAGAGGAGACUGGAAUUUACGGUGUAGCGGUGAAAUGCGUAGAUAUCGUAAGGAAGACCAGUGGCGAAGGCGGGUCUCUGGACAGUUCCUGACGCUGAGGCGCGAAGGUCAGGGGAGCAAACGGG